This 524-nucleotide ribosomal RNA is filed under the name uncultured Staphylococcus sp. RNAcentral describes it as "bacterial SSU rRNA". It matches the Rfam family "Bacterial small subunit ribosomal RNA", at positions 1 to 507 of the family's 1533-position model. The record is from RNAcentral. Lineage: Bacteria; Bacillati; Bacillota; Bacilli; Caryophanales; Staphylococcaceae.
ACGAGAGUUUUCGAGUCCCUGGGUACUCAGGAUGAACGCUGGCGGCGUGCCAAUACAUGCAAGUCAGCGAACAGAUAAGGAGCUUGCUCCUUUGAAGUUAGCGGCGGACGGGUGAGUAACACGUGGGUAACCUACCUAUAAGACUGGGAUAACUUCGGGAAACCGGAGCUAAUACCGGAUAAUAUUUAGAACGCAUGGUUCUAAAGUGAAAGAUGGUUUUGCUAUCACUUAUAGAUGGACCCGCGCCGUAUUAGCUAGUUGGUAAGGUAACGGCUUACCAAGGCGACGAUACGUAGCCGACCUGAGAGGGUGAUCGGCCACACUGGAACUGAGACACGGUCCAGACUCCUACGGGAGGCAGCAGUAGGGAAUCUUCCGCAAUGGACGAAAGCCUGACGGAGCAACGCCGCGUGAGUGAUGAAGGGUUUCGGCUCGUAAAACUCUGUUAUUAGGGAAGAACAAAUGUGUAAGUAACUGCGCACAUCUUGACGGUACCUAAUCAGAAAGCCACGGCUAACUACGUG